This 501-nucleotide ribosomal RNA is filed under the name uncultured bacterium. RNAcentral describes it as "partial 16S ribosomal RNA". It matches the Rfam family "Bacterial small subunit ribosomal RNA", at positions 29 to 523 of the family's 1533-position model. The record is from RNAcentral.
AUUGAACGCUGGCGGCAUGCCUUACACAUGCAAGUCGAACGGCAGCACGGGUGCUUGCACCUGGUGGCGAGUGGCGAACGGGUGAGUAAUACAUCGGAACGUACCUUAUCGUGGGGGAUAACGCAGCGAAAGCUGUGCUAAUACCUCAUACGCCCUGAGGGGGAAAGCGGGGGAUGGAAAGACCUCGCGCGAUUAGAGCGGCCGAUGCCUGAUUAGCUUGUUGGUGGGGUAAAAGCCCACCAAGGCGAGGAUCAGUAGCUGGUCUGAGAGGACGAUCAGCCACACGGGGACGGGGACACGGCCCAGACUCCAACGGGAGGCAGCAGUGGGGAAUUUUGGACAAGGGGGGCAACCCUGAUCCAGCAAUGCCGCGUGAGUGAAGAAGGCCUUCGGGUUGUAAAGCUCUUUUGUCAGGGAAGAAACACCGGCUCUAACACAGUCCGGGAAUGACGGUACCUGAAGAAUAAGCACCGGCUAACUACGUGCCAGCCGCCGCCGUAA